CAGAUUGAACGCUGGCGGCAGGCCUAACACAUGCAAGUCGAGCGGUAACAGAUCUAGCUUGCUAGAUGCUGACGAGCGGCGGACGGGUGAGUAAUGCAUAGGAAUCUGCCCGGUAGUGGGGGAUAACCUGGGGAAACCCAGGCUAAUACCGCAUACGUCCUACGGGAGAAAGGGGGCUUCGGCUCCCGCUACGGGAUGAGCCUAUGUCGGAUUAGCUAGUUGGUAGGGUAAAGGCCUACCAAGGCAACGAUCCGUAGCUGGUCUGAGAGGAUGAUCAGCCACAUCGGGACUGAGACACGGCCCGAACUCCUACGGGAGGCAGCAGUGGGGAAUAUUGGACAAUGGGGGCAACCCUGAUCCAGCCAUGCCGCGUGUGUGAAGAAGGCCUUCGGGUUGUAAAGCACUUUCAGCGAGGAAGAACGCCUAGCGGUUAAUACCCGUUAGGAAAGACAUCAC
RNAcentral lists this ribosomal RNA (456 nucleotides) under Halomonas sp. VB93. Its description in RNAcentral is "bacterial SSU rRNA". It matches the Rfam family "Bacterial small subunit ribosomal RNA", at positions 25 to 478 of the family's 1533-position model. The record is from RNAcentral. Lineage: Bacteria; Pseudomonadati; Pseudomonadota; Gammaproteobacteria; Oceanospirillales; Halomonadaceae.